GAUGAACGCUGGCGGCGUGCCUAAUACAUGCAAGUAGAACGCUGAAGGAGGAGCUUGCUCUUCUGGAUGAGUUGCGAACGGGUGAGUAACGCGUAGGUAACCUGCCUGGUAGCGGGGGAUAACUAUUGGAAACGAUAGCUAAUACCGCAUGACAACAGUUAUUGCAUGAUAACUGUUUAAAAGGGGCAACUGCUCCACUACCAGAUGGACCUGCGUUGUAUUAGCUAGUUGGUGAGGUAACGGCUCACCAAGGCGACGAUACAUAGCCGACCUGAGAGGGUGAUCGGCCACACUGGGACUGAGACACGGCCCAGACUCCUACGGGAGGCAGCAGUAGGGAAUCUUCGGCAAUGGACGGAAGUCUGACCGAGCAACGCCGAGUGAGUGAAGAAGGUUUUCGGAUCGUAAAGCUCUGUUGUAAGAGAAGAACGAGUGUGAGAGUGGAAAGUUCACACUGUGACGGUAUCUUACCAGAAAGGGACGGCUAACUACGUG
RNAcentral lists this ribosomal RNA (495 nucleotides) under uncultured bacterium. RNAcentral describes it as "partial 16S ribosomal RNA". It matches the Rfam family "Bacterial small subunit ribosomal RNA", at positions 28 to 507 of the family's 1533-position model. The record is from RNAcentral.